UACGUAGGGUGCAAGCGUUGUCCGGAAUUAUUGGGCGUAAAGAGCUCGUAGGCGGCUUGUCGCGUCGGCUGUGAAAACCUGGGGCUCAACCCCGGGCCUGCAGCCGAUACGGGCAAGCUAGAAUUCGGUAGGGGAGACUGGAAUUCCUGGUGUAGCGGUGAAAUGCGCAGAUAUCAGGAGGAACACCGGUGGCGAAGGCGGGUCUCUGGGCCGAUAUUGACGCUGAGGCACGAAAGCCAGGGGAGCAAACGGG
Molecule: ribosomal RNA, 253 nt
Filed under: uncultured bacterium
Lineage: Bacteria
Description: partial 16S ribosomal RNA
Rfam family: Bacterial small subunit ribosomal RNA
Source: RNAcentral